GUGAGGAAUAUUGCGCAAUGGAGGCAACUCUGACGCAGCCAUGCCGCGUGCAGGAAGAAGGCGCUACGCGUUGUAAACUGCUUUUAACCGGGAAGAAACCCCAGGACGUGUCCUGGGUUGACGGUACCGGAGGAAUAAGCACCGGCUAACUUCGUGCCAGCAGCCGCGGUAAUACGAAGGGUGCAAGCGUUAUCCGGAUUCAUUGGGUUUAAAGGGUGCGUAGGCGGAGCGUUAAGUCAGUGGUGAAAUCCUGCAGCUUAACUGUAGACUUGCCAUUGAGACUGGUGCUCUUGAGUGCGCUUGAAGUGGGCGGAAUGUGCCGUGUAGCGGUGAAAUGCUUAGAUAUGGCACAGAACACCAAUUGCGAAGGCAGCUCACUAAGGCGAUACUGACGCUGAGGCACGAAAGCGUGGGGAUCGAACAGGAUUAGAAACCCCAGUAGUCC
RNAcentral lists this ribosomal RNA (445 nucleotides) under uncultured bacterium. RNAcentral describes it as "bacterial SSU rRNA". It matches the Rfam family "Bacterial small subunit ribosomal RNA", at positions 354 to 796 of the family's 1533-position model. The record is from RNAcentral.